CCUUGAGGGGUCGCAGGAGGCCUGGAGUAGCUGCGCUUGGACUCUGCAGACCCCACCUUAAGCCGUCUGUCAAAUCCUCCAUUUCCAGAGCGAUUCUUCCUACCCAGUAUCUGAGACAAGACACCCACCCAGUGUGACAUAAACUGAGGUAAACAUCUGUGACCAACACCUUCCCUAUGGGGCAAAGGGUCCCAACCCGACCAGCAGAGGCAGUGGCGGCAGGAGCAGCAAGGCCCCCUGACGGCGACGACGAGAGUGCAGACUUGGUUCCAGCCUGUCUCUCCAUCGGGCUGUCGCUGCCCCCUCUUUGCACCUCUGAAAACAGGGACUGGGCUACAUAACUACGAUCCCUUCCCAACUCUAACAUCCUAGAUACUACGACGAGGGAGAGACUCCCCAAACAGGAUCUUCACAGAGAAAGAGAGAGAGAGAAAGAGAGAGAGAGAGGGCGCACACGAGGGGCGUCUAAUUGGAACCUCGCUUCCUUGUUAUUGCAGGAGAGACAGGAUGUCGAGAGGCCUAAGGCAAAAGGAGAGGUGGCGGCUGGGAGAGGUGCCCGGAUGGGCUCCAGGUUCCCUGAGGGGUGUGCUGAAGCGCAGGCCUGGACGCCCUGUGGCAGCUGCUGGGUGAGAAUCCUGGGGCGGAGUUACCGAGGUGUCGGGAUGCAGCCACUGAAUACACAAGGUGCACCCGCAAGUGCACACCUGCUCAUGCACACAUUUAUCCCCCUCCCACUGCCCCCUGUUCUCACACCCACACUCCAGUACCAGAAACUUGGGAGACGGUGGGGAUGAGGUCAGCCCCAGGCUGACCACUGGAGCCUAGCAGAAACCUGGGAGAAAUUUCUGGCCCACAUCACCGCGCCAGCUGCCAAAAGCCCAGGCCGCUGAGUCUGAGCUGGGGC
Molecule: long non-coding RNA, 904 nt
Filed under: Sus scrofa (pig)
Lineage: Eukaryota; Metazoa; Chordata; Mammalia; Artiodactyla; Suidae
Description: lncRNA (ENSSSCG00050059694.1, ENSSSCG00060003174.1)
Source: RNAcentral